UACGUAGGGGGCGAGCGUUGUCCGGAUUUAUUGGGCGUAAAGCGCGCGUAGGCGGCAGCUUCAGUCGGCCGUGAAAGCGCCAGGCUUAACCUGGCGAGGUCGGGCGAUACUAGGCUGCUCGAGGCGGGCAGAGGGCAGUGGUAUUUCGGAUGGAGCGGUGGAAUGCGUAGAUCUCCGAAGGAACACCAGUGGCGAAGGCGGCACUCUGGGCUGGUACUGACGCUGAGGAGCGAAAGCGUGGGUAGCAAACAGG
Molecule: ribosomal RNA, 253 nt
Filed under: uncultured bacterium
Lineage: Bacteria
Description: partial 16S ribosomal RNA
Rfam family: Bacterial small subunit ribosomal RNA
Source: RNAcentral